AUUGAACGCUGGCGGCAUGCCUUACACAUGCAAGUCGAACGGCAGCAUGGAAGAGCUUGCUCUUCUGAUGGCGAGUGGCGAACGGGUGAGUAAAGCAUCGGAACGUACCGUGUAGUAGGGGAUAACGUAGCGAAAGUUACGCUAAUACCGCAUACGCACUGAGGUGGAAAGCAGGGGAUCGCAAGCCCUUGCGCUAUACGAGCUGCCGAUGUCAGAUUAGCUAGUUGGUAGGGUAAAGGCCUACCAAGGCGACGAUCUGUAGCGGGUCUGAGAGGAUGAUCCGCCACACUGGGACUGAGACACGGCCCAGACUCCUACGGGAGGCAGCAGUGGGGAAUUUUGGACAAUGGGGGAAACCCUGAUCCAGCCAUGCCGCGUGAGUGAAGAAGGCCUUCGGGUUGUAAAGCUCUUUCGGCUGGGAAGAAAUCGCACAGGCUAAUACUCUGUGUGGAUGACGGUACCAGCACAAGAAGCACCGGCUAACUACGUGCCAGCCGCCGCAGUAA
RNAcentral lists this ribosomal RNA (506 nucleotides) under uncultured bacterium. RNAcentral's name for it is "partial 16S ribosomal RNA". It matches the Rfam family "Bacterial small subunit ribosomal RNA", at positions 30 to 523 of the family's 1533-position model. The record is from RNAcentral.